CUCUCUGCAGGGAAAUGAUCCUCUUUCUUCGGGGCACACUCAAGUCACCUCAUCCAUUUAGCCUUUCUGCACAAGCUUCAUUACUCCGAUUUCCCCUUCCCACAGACUCUGCCGUGAUUCCUCACACCAAUACGGAUGCAGGGGAAGACAGAAGUUCUGGGAGGCAAUCCACCCAGAUCUUCCCUUCAUGUGAGAAAACAGCCAUUCCUCGAGACCAGACAAUACCAGGGAAGCAAGAUCCUAACAAUUUCUGGGGGCUAGGUGGAAAUUCUACCAUGUGUGACCUGGAGCUGGGGAAAGAAAUGAGGGCUACCUGGCCUGCUCCUGGGUGAGGAGAGCUGCCAGCCUCAGGGCUUCAGGUCCCCCUCUGGAGACUUCCAGCCCUCGGCCUGCUGCUGACAGGAAGAGAGUUCAUGAAACAGCUCAGGGAUGGUCUACAUCUGCCACAUACACUGGCUGUUUGGAAAGUUGUCAUUUUUAGAGUCUCUGAAGAUAAUCCAAUUACACUGUGUUCAGAUGAAAAAACGAUCACUGUUCUUUCAUGAUUAUUGGUCUUCAAGUAGUUGUUGUUAUUAUAAAUAACUGAAUCACCAUUGAGGAAAUCUGCCCACAGAAUAAAAUUCAGAUUAUCACUGCAAAGUCAUCCUUUAAGAAUAUUGCUAAUACUUUUCUUU
Molecule: long non-coding RNA, 674 nt
Filed under: Cercocebus atys (sooty mangabey)
Lineage: Eukaryota; Metazoa; Chordata; Mammalia; Primates; Cercopithecidae
Description: lncRNA (ENSCATG00000045570.1)
Source: RNAcentral